Molecule: ribosomal RNA, 253 nt
Filed under: uncultured bacterium
Lineage: Bacteria
Description: partial 16S ribosomal RNA
Rfam family: Bacterial small subunit ribosomal RNA
Source: RNAcentral
UACGUAGGGUGCGAGCGUUGUCCGGAAUUACUGGGCGUAAAGAGCUCGUAGGUGGUUUGUCGCGUUGUUCGUGAAAACUCACAGCUCAACUGUGGGCGUGCGGGCGAUACGGGCAGACUGGAGUACUGCAGGGGAGACUGGAAUUCCUGGUGUAGCGGUGGAAUGCGCAGAUAUCAGGAGGAACACCGGUGGCGAAGGCGGAUCUCUGGGCCUUACCUGACGCUCAGGCACGAAAGCUAGGGGAGCGAACAGG